Molecule: ribosomal RNA, 253 nt
Filed under: uncultured bacterium
Lineage: Bacteria
Description: partial 16S ribosomal RNA
Rfam family: Bacterial small subunit ribosomal RNA
Source: RNAcentral
UACGGAGGGUGCAAGCAUUGAUCGGAAUUACUGGGCGUAAAGGGCGCGUAGGCGGUCAGGAAAGUCAGAUGUGAAAUUCCGGAGCUCAACUCCGGAGCUGCAUUUGAAACUUCCUAUCUAGAGUACAGUUAGGGAAAACGGAAUUCCACGUGUAGCGGUGAAAUGCGUAGAUAUGUGGAAGAACACCAGUGGUGAAGACGGUUUUCUGGGCUGUUACUGACGCUGAGGCGCGAAAGCAAGGGGAGCAAACAGG